ACUCAUCACCCCCCCACCCAAACCAAAAAAAGAAAGUUACAGAGUUGAUGCUUAACUCCUCUACUCCACCUCUUGCUGAACAAGGAUAUAGGCUGUAUUGAGGGACAGAAGAGAGAUUAAAUUAGACAUAAGCUGUGCGACCUCUUGUGCUAUAGUUCUCUUCAAGACACGGUUGUGGUACAAAGCACCAAUUUCCUUGUACCACGUGGCAUGC
RNAcentral lists this long non-coding RNA (214 nucleotides) under Elaeis guineensis (African oil palm). RNAcentral's name for it is "long non-coding RNA (EGUI_LNC019482)". The record is from RNAcentral. Lineage: Eukaryota; Viridiplantae; Streptophyta; Magnoliopsida; Arecales; Arecaceae.